RNAcentral lists this ribosomal RNA (493 nucleotides) under uncultured bacterium. RNAcentral's name for it is "partial 16S ribosomal RNA". It matches the Rfam family "Bacterial small subunit ribosomal RNA", at positions 30 to 523 of the family's 1533-position model. The record is from RNAcentral.
AUUGAACGCUGGCGGCAUGCUUUACACAUGCAAGUCGAACGGUAACAGGUUAAGCUGACGAGUGGCGAACGGGUGAGUAAUGCAUCGGAACGUGCCCGAUCGUGGGGGAUAACGUAGCGAAAGUUACGCUAAUACCGCAUACGAUCUAUGGAUGAAAGCGGGGGAUCGCAAGACCUCGCGCGAUUGGAGCGGCCGAUAUCAGAUUAGGUAGUUGGUGGGGUAAAGGCUCACCAAGCCGACGAUCUGUAGCUGGUCUGAGAGGACGACCAGCCACACUGGGACUGAGACACGGCCCAGACUCCUACGGGAGGCAGCAGUGGGGAAUUUUGGACAAUGGGCGCAAGCCUGAUCCAGCCAUGCCGCGUGCAGGAUGAAGGCCUUCGGGUUGUAAACUGCUUUUGUACGGAACGAAAAGGUUUGGCCUAAUAAGCUGAGCUCAUGACGGUACCGUAAGAAUAAGCACCGGCUAACUACGUGCCAGCCGCCGCCGUAA